GGCAGUGUAGCACAGUGGGUAAGGAACUGGGCUCGUAACCGAAAGGUCGUAGGUUCAAUUCCUGGAUAGUACACUGUCG
Molecule: transfer RNA, 79 nt
Filed under: Anguilla anguilla (European eel)
Lineage: Eukaryota; Metazoa; Chordata; Actinopteri; Anguilliformes; Anguillidae
Description: tRNA-OTHER
Source: RNAcentral